GAAUCCGUGGUGGCGGGACGAGCAGGGGUCCAGGUGGUGGCUGUUCUUCCCGGGGGCAGUGAAGGCGAGGAGCAUGAGUUUCGAGCAGCGGCAGCAAAGUCGGUGUUGGCAGCGGGAGGCUCGAACUUAGGCCGUCCGGGCGUCCUCUCCCAUACAAACGGCACCGCGCCAGGACUCCUCAGCGAUCCCCAGCAAGCGCCCUCGUCCUCGUCGUCCUCUUUACUCACCUGGGGGCUGUCGCAGAAUUCACUCCUUCGGUUCAUCAAUCCCCACCUUUGCUGCUGCUGCUGGAGGAGCUGAUGCUGGUGGUGGUGCCUCCGGAUCGACAUGAGGGGUGCAUUUAGAUCCAACUUCUUCUCCCGGAGGAACUCCUGGGAUUGCUGCUGCUGCUGCUGUAGGAGCUGCUGCUGGAUAAUGCUCGAGAACACCAUCGCUGGAGUCUAGCUUCUACCAGGAACAGCUACAUUGAUCCAAAUCUCCAUCGCUGGCUCUCGCAAUGCCGAAACUCUGGAUCGAUCAAGCGAAACACAGAAAAGAAUAAGAAGAAGAGAGCCAAACGAAGAAACACCAAGAGUGUGAUCGCGAGGCGUAGCUCAACAAGGAACUACCACCGAUUCCCAUAGAACCUGCAUUGCCCCCCCAUCCCAUCGUGUGCAUCGCUCACAACACAGAUAAAAUAGAAGAAGCGAACACCACAAGAACGAGAAAACUGGAAGAACGAAAAAAAAACAGAGAGUAAAAGCCGUCGGAUAUUCCGGCGAUAUAAAGCCGUCGGAUAUUCUGUCUGAUCCAGACACGUGACGGGGAUAUUCUGGUCCGUCAACUUUGGCUGGCCCAUGCAAGGAAAUUCCUGUGUGUGUAAA
Selaginella moellendorffii is the source of this 863-nucleotide long non-coding RNA. RefSeq lists it as uncharacterized. The record is from RefSeq and is a predicted model, not a curated record. NCBI's taxonomy places the organism in Eukaryota, Viridiplantae, Streptophyta, Lycopodiopsida, Selaginellales, Selaginellaceae. The transcript has 4 exons.